Molecule: long non-coding RNA, 30692 nt
Filed under: Carica papaya (papaya)
Lineage: Eukaryota; Viridiplantae; Streptophyta; Magnoliopsida; Brassicales; Caricaceae
Description: long non-coding RNA (CPAP_LNC010568)
Source: RNAcentral
AGGAGGCAGAAGUGGAGGCCAAGGAUCGGGGAUUGUUCGAUUUCUUAAAGAAGAAGGAUGAAGACGAGAGGCCUCAAGAGGAGGUGAUCGUCACUGAGUUCGAGAAGGUUCAGGUCUCUGAACCCGAGCCCAAGAUCGAGGAGCCCCUAAGGAAGAAGAGGAGAAGAAGCAUUCUCUCUUAGAGAAGCUUCACCGAUCUGACAGCAGCUCCAGCUCCGUAAGUUCCAUUUAUAUAUUUUCUAUGUUGUAGUUAUAUUAUAAUAUUGGAAGAUUUUUUAAAUCAGCAUGACUCUGCUUGCGGUGUCACGGAAACUUUAAGUGUUCAUAGUCGCGAUCCGUAGAAUUAAUGUAUUAGCGGUUGAUCUGAGACCUUGUACGAUUAAUUGAAUGGUAAGUACGCUUCUAAUGGCUUUCCAAAUUUUGCAGUCCAGCGAUGAGGAAGAAGGUGAAGGAGAGGAGAAGAAGAAAAAAAAGAAGAAGGGUCUGAAAGAGAAGAUCAAGGAAAAGAUCUCAGGAGAAAAGGAAGAAGAGAAGAAAGAAGAGGACACCACAAUCCCUGUUGAGAAAGUUGAGGAGCCCGCUGCCCAUCCUGAAGAGAAGAAAGGAUUCCUUGAGAAGAUCAAGGAAAAACUUCCAGGCCAGCACAAGAAAUCUGAAGAGCCGGCCUCCCCUCCUCCUCCGGCAGAGAGUGCAGCCCCCGAGCCUGAGAAGAAGGGCAUCUUAGAGAAACUCAAGGAGAAGCUUCCUGGGUAUCACUCCAAGACUGAGGAAGCUGACAAGGAGAAGAAAGAGACGUCAGAUUAAGAAUUACAAGAUCUCAUGUUACUUUUUGAGUUAUGAUCGUUGUGUGGUUUAUUUAGUGUUCAAUUUUUUUUUUUUUUUUUUUCUGUUUCCUUCCUUGUGGGAUUUUCAGGUUCAUAUAUAAGCAUUAUAUACAGAGAUGCUUGAUAUACGUGCUUAUAUAUAGGCUUGUUUACUGAAUUACUAUGCAUGUUUUGGGGGAAGAAGGUCAAUCAUCCUCUGCUUCUAUGAUUCGAAAAGUGUUAUCAAGAGAUUUCUUUGCUUGUAAAUCUGAAGCUAUGAUUUCUAACUUCAUGCUUUCUUUCUUCAGCCUGCGAGUGAUUAUACUUUCUGGCCCCAUAUCGACCCUCUCUGUUGACACUCGAUUAGGGGCGAAUGUUCAUGAUUUUGAUUUAUUAACAAUAAAAUAAUUUGUGAUUUAUAUAAUCAUUACAAAAAAUAUUUAUUAUUAUAUAUUAUUAAUUAGAAUAAUAAUUUGUUUUUCAGGUCUCAAAUCAAUUUUAAAAAAGUUAGGUUCGAUUAUUUGGAUAAUAAUAUAUUCAUUUAAAAUAUCAUUAUAAACUACUUAAUUAUGAUUUUUUUAUAAUAAUAGAUUCCAUUAUAAACAUAUUACUAAAUUAUUUUAACUUAUAUAUUAUUCUAUAUUAAUUAUGAUUAUUUAAAUAAUAAUAAUUAUCGUAAUAAAAAAUUAAUAACAUAUUCUGCAUAUUCUGAUUCAAACAUAUUCUGCAAGAUUAAAUUUGAAUAUGAUUUAAUUAGAAACUUAUAUUUUAAUGAUUAAAUAUAUUCGCUAAUAACUUUAUGAGUGUGAUUAACAAAAAAUUUAAUUAAAUUAAAAUUUAAAUUGUGUAAUAGUAUCUUUUUAAUAUAAUAUAUAAUUAGGUGUGAUAAUUUUAAAAUUACGUGAAAUAAAUAAUAAUAAUAAUAAUAAAGUAAAUAUCGCAUAUACUUAAUUGGCCACUUAAGCAUAUAAUAUAUGAUUGGAUGUGAUAACUUUAAAAUUACGUAAAAUAAAUAAUAAUAAUAAAGUAAAUAUCGCAUAUGCUUGAUUGGCCGCUUAAGCAACAUAAUAACACAUGCCAAUCGAUAAAAGCACGCCUUGUCAACCUUCACAUUCGCGGAGCAAACUAAGAAUAUCUCAUCUCAUUGGCAACCCAACAAAAAUCCUUCUCAUAUUUUCUUAAAUAUUUUACACAACAAUGCAAUUUCGAUUCUCUUCACCACUAAAUACUAAGAAAUCAUUGUCUAGUAAAAUCCAACAAUGAGUAUCUACUUUUUUAAGUCUAUGAACCAACUCCAUAUAUGCUAUAUAUAUAUGUAUGUUAUAUGGGCUAGAUGAAAUGGUGUGACUAAGCAAAAAUGUGGAGAAGUGGCGUGCUUAUAGCUUUUGGGUUUAUAGUUGGUCUGAUUAUAAGAUUCACAAAUGGAGAGCACUUGAUUGGAUUGGGAAGCUAUGAUAUGACUGGUCCAGCCGCUGGGGUAAACAUGAUGGGUUAUGCCAAUAUGGAACAGGUCACCGCCGGUGUCCAUUUCCGGCUUAGAGCCAGGACUUUCAUUGUGGUCGACGGCAUCCAAGGUCCUAGAUUUGCUUUUGUUAACCUUGAUGCUGGCAUGGCUUCACAGCUUGUCACAAUUAAAGUGCUUGAGAAACUCAAAUCAAGGUACAACUACAAUACAAAUAAAUAGUCAGAACUAGCUAACUCAUCUUAUUAUUACUUGGGUUUUUUUUGAAAAAAAAAAAAAAAAUUAAUAGGCCAUGUUUAUGGAAUCUUGUAUUUGAAAAUUAAUUGAAGGUAUGGGAAUUUGUAUACUGAGAAAAAUGUGGCUAUAAGCGGCAUCCACACUCAUGCUGGUCCUGGAGGUUACUUGCAGUACUUGGUUUAUUCUAUAACCUCUCUUGGCUUUGUCAAACAAUCAUUUGAUGCAAUUGUGACGGCUAUUGAGCAGAGUAUUAUUCAGGCUCAUAACAAUCUCAAGCCCGGUUCAGUUUUCAUCAACUCAGGUAUGAUUUAAUUCCGAUAUCUAUUGGGUUUCUUCUUCGUUUUUCUGGCGCUGUCAUGUUAUAGUAAUCUGCAGGGGAUGUGGAAAAUGCGGGGAUAAACAGGAGUCCCAGUGCGUAUCUCCUUAACCCAGCAGAAGAAAGAGCGAGAUAUAAAUUCAAUGUGGAUAAAGAAAUGACCCUUUUGAAAUUUGUCGAUGGUGCAACCCAGAAGAGUAUAGGAGCUUUUAGUUGGUAUGCAACGCAUGGGACCUCCAUGAGCAGAGACAACAAGCUUAUCAGUGGAGACAAUAAGGGUGCAGCUGCUAGAUUCUUCGAGGACUGGUUUGCUUCCAUCACCAACUCUGCAUCUCCACCAGUCGGUGACGCAUCUGCUCAAGGUUAGUUAUCGAUCAGAAACAGAGUUAAUUGGGAGCUUAAUAAAAUUUUAGUCUCUACUCAUUUUAUUGUGUCUAUCACACAUGGGAAUGUUGAUAGAGAAAGCGAAAGCAAUCAAAGCAACAGGAGGACAACCGUGUGGUAAAACUACAAGCCAAAGCUUUAAGGUGAGAAAGAAUGGCGAAGGGUCAAGAUUUGUAGGAGCAUUUUGCCAAUCAAAUGUUGGAGAUGUAACACCAAAUGUGCUCGGAGCAUUUUGCACAGAUAGCGGGAAACCCUGUGAUUUUAAUCACUCUUCCUGUCAUGGCAAUGACCAGCUUUGCGUUGGCCGAGGACCUGGGUAUUUAUAGUCAUUCCACACAGAACUUUUGUCAAACACAUAACGGGUUUUGCUACGUUAAUUGGAUCAUGAUCUUUCUUUUGACAGAUACCCAGAUGAAAUAUUGAGCACAAAAAUCAUUGGGGAGAGGCAAUUUCAAAAGGCUGUUGAUUUAUUCAACUCUGCUACUAAGGAAUUGAGCGGCAAAAUCGAUUUUCGCCAUGUAUAUCUAAACUUCACCGAUAUUGAAGUGGAUAAAGAUGGAAAUACCAAAGCCAAGACUUGUCCUGCAGCUCUUGGUCCAGGUUUCGCCGCCGGGACUACUGAUGGGCCUGGUGCCUUCGGGUUUCAACAAGGCGACACAGAGGUGAAUACCAAAUUUCAUUCCUCGUAGACCCAUUUGCUUAAUUUUUUGAAAAUACUAAUACGUUUAUAUGACUUCAAGAUCAAUGAGCUAUGGAGAAAAGUGAGGGACUUGUUGAAAGAACCCAGCCAAUAUCAAGUGGACUGCCAAAAGCCCAAGACCGUUUUGCUUGACACUGGCGAAAUGUUUGUUCCUUACGCAUGGGCGGUAAGGAAUGCUACAAAAACUUCUCCAAAACAAGAUUAUCUUUUAAUUUCUAACUGAAAUCUAUGUUGAUGCAGCCAGCAGUUCUUCCAAUCCAGAUACUGAGGCUGGGAAAACUGAUCAUAUUGUGUGUCCCAGGAGGUUUUCUUUCUUUUCUCCCUUAUAAUAAAUUGAUUUCCCAUUCUGAUAAUUUCUUAUAUACAUAAAAACAAUUCAUUUUCUCAGUUCAUUAACAAAUCAAAUCCUCAAUACACAGAAGAAUGUUAAUCCAUGCAUGAUAGUAAUAUGUAACAUUAGUUGCAUGUUUUUGUGACUACCAAGCUCUAAAAGAAUGGGUUUGUUGAGACUUGCAGAGUUUACAACAAUGGCUGGUCGGAGACUGAGGGACGCAGUUAAGCAGACACUGAUCAGUAAUGGAGAAGGAGAAUUUGAUGAUGAGACUCGCGUUGUAAUAGCUGGCCUUACAAACACUUAUUCACAGUAUAUAGCCACUGUUGAAGAAUACACACAACAGAGAUACGAGGUAAUUAAAACAUGCAUCAUACUACAAUCCCCAUUAAAAACAAGAAGUUUUAAACUGUUGGUAGUUAAAAAUCACAAUAAAUUUUGCAGGCUGCUUCAACACUCUAUGGACCACAUACACUAUCUGCAUACAUUCAAGAAUUUAGUAAACUAGCAAAAGCAAUGGCACAAGGAACCACCAUUGAAACAGGCAUCUCGCCACCCGACCUUUCAUCAGUCCAACUGAGCCUCUUACCUGAACCCUCUGGAGACUCACCUCCACCGGGCAAAAAAUUUGGUGACAUCAAACAAGAUGUGAGUUCUGGUUCGUUCAAGAAAGGAGACAUAGUAAGCGCUACAUUUUGGAGCGCUAAUCCCAGAUACGAUCUGUUAACAGAAGGAACAUUUGCGGUGGUAGAGAAGCUUCAAGAUCUUCGUUGGAUUCCAGUCUAUGACGAUGAUGAUUUUGACUUAUAUUUCAAAUGGGGAUUAGAUAACGCUACAUUUUUUGGCUUAGCAACAAUUGAAUGGCAAGUGACGGAGGAGGCUACUUCUGGGCUUUAUCGUCUUAGACACUUUGGUUCAUCCAAGAAAACGAACUCCUCUCCCAUCAAAUACUUUACUGGCACAUCCAGUGCCUUCACAGUGUCAUAGUUACAUUUGGAGCUUGUUUUAUUAGGAAAAGAGUGCAAAAAUUUUCAACUUUACUUGAACAUUCAAAUCAUUAGAUAAUGUCAUAGAUGAUAUUGACAAUAAACAAACAUGAGUUAUAACUCUUUGAAAAAAGAAAAUUGUUACUGCAAUAAAAAUAACUUAUAAUAACGAAUAUUUUUAACCAUAGAUGAGAUUAGUUACUUAAGCUAAACAUAUACGGAUUCAACUGUUGUAGACGAAUGUUUAUACUGCUGGAAUCUGCAUUCACUUACGAAUUAAACUAUAAAUCUCAUAAGAUAGCCCAUUAAACCAAAGCCCCCUUUGUCUCUUCCAUAGAAAUUCAAAUGUAAUUCUAGUUCUUCUCUUUGUUUCUUCACUUAAAAGUUCAAACAGCCUCGUAUCAUUAACAGAUGUCCAUUGAAUAAAACCCAUUAAACCAAAGCCAAUAUAACAUAAAACAAAAAUACCCUUUGUCUCUUCCAAGAAUUCAAACAUAAUAUCUGAGUUUUCUCUUUGUUCUUUCAAUGGAGAUUCAGAUAGCUGCUUCUUUGUUAUUAUUCUUCGAGCUACAAAUGCGCAGGCCUCCACCAUUGAAAUAACAUCUCUUUCUUUUCUUCUUUUUUUUUUUCUAUCUUUUGCUUCGAGCUUCUUCUUAUCCUGAGCUAUGUUGAAUUCUUUAGUUUUAUGUAAUCUUGUUUAUUCUUAUUCUUUAAGAUUAUCCGCUCACAGCCAUGCCUCUUGUUGCUACGUUUUUUGUCAAUUCAACUUGACAUUUUAUUUGAAAUUUUUGGAGACUUUUCCACUUCGAGUAAAACUUUUAUAAUAUAAAACGAGAUAUCAAAAUGCAGUUCAUUCAAGAAAAGUGGUAUACCCAGUGCUACAUAUUGGAAUACUAGCUCAAUAUGUAACUUAAUACAGAAACCAUGUUUUUCAUUGUGCAUGAGCUUCAAGGCAAUCAGAUUUUAGUGGCACUGGUGAUGGCGGUUUUCACUUUUAUUUACGGAAGAGAAUAGAUAACACUAUAUUGUAUGGCUUAACAACCAUUAAAUAGUAAGUGGCUAAAGAGACUACCUUCAGGGAUUAUUGGCUUAGACAUUUUGCCUCAUUUUAGAAACCGCAAGGAUGAGUUUUUAAACAUCUUGUGUAUCCAAAAUAUCAUAGCUAUAAAGUAGACAAUUAAACGCAAGGAGCUUGUUUUAUUGCCAAUAAUAUAAAACCAUCAUUCUUUUCAAUCCAACAUUCAAAUAAAUAGUGUUCGGGCUUAUUUAUCCAUCCAAAUUACACAUCGGAUGCACUCGCCUUUAAGCAGCAAAUCAAAUGCUUUGUUGAUCUCUUCGAACUUAACCUCAUGUGUAACGAACUCAUCAAGAUGCAGUUCCUGAAAUGAUUUUCAUAAAAACUGUCAAUAGGAUUUAAUGUAUGUAUAAAAGAAAGUGAUCAAGUGAAAGAAUGUUACCUUGUUCAAGUAAUGAUUGAUAAGAACCGGAAUAUCUGAUUUCGCUUUGAUUCCUCCAUACAGACAUGCUGUUAUGGUUUUUGUGCUUUGAAGAAACUCCAUGGAGUUGAACUUCAACUCCGAGUCUGGCUUAUCCAAUCCCACCAUAAUUGUCUUUCCCCAACCCUGAUCUUCCACAAAGAUUACAUGAUAGAUUAUUAUUAGCUUACCAGAUGAAUUACAAUCAUUCUCAUACGAGUCAUGAAUUAAAUUUUCCAGGUUACACAAUAAAACUAGAGUGAUAGUCUGAGAGAGACCUUUCUAGAACUAGCAUAUGCUUCUUGCACCAACGAUGCUCUACCAACGCAUUCAAAACAGUAAUCAGCACCUCCACCGGUCAUCUCUUGGAUCACCUACGUACUCGACAAAAGAAAUGAGAAAGGUUAUUAGUGAUUUGAUUCAUGAAGGUCUAUACUAUAUGCUUUAUCACAAGUUAUUUGAAACAUUAUGUUUACUAAGACAUUUCUCAACCAUCUUGUUAUACUCUAUUCAAGAAAUAAAGAGAAAUGCAGGAGGAAUACUCACCUGGCUUACGGACUUAUCUCCACAGUCCUUUGGAUUUACAAAUUCAGUAAUACCAAACUUUUUGCCUACAUGAAAUACAAAUAUAAAAUCAACCGAAAAUAAGUAUCAUGUGUUUUUUAACGUCUGGGGGAAUAGAAAAGUAAUUUCGAGCACAUAUAUAUAUAUAUAUAUAUGUUAACUGACCAACUUCAAAUUUUUCUGGGUUCACAUCGACACCUAUUAUUUUGGUAGCACCGCAGAGUCGUCCUCCCUCAGCAACCUAAAAUACCACCAUAGAGGAAAGUAAUUUACAUAUUUUAUACACAAUAAUAUUACACAUGAAAGUACAUAAUAAGAAGUAAAACAAUUUAAAUAAUAAAGAAGAAUUGCAAGAGAAUACCGCUAGUCCAACUGCUCCUAACCCAAAUAUAGCAAUGGUUGAUCCUGCCUCCACUUUUGCUGUUUUCCAAGCAGCACCAAUCCCUGAAACACAACAUUUUAUUGGUUAUUGACUACUAGUUUAGUAGCUAGCUAAGUAAGUGUAAUGUUGACAUAUAAAUCUUUGAUAGAUUUACCUGUCGAAACUCCACAACCAAGGAGACAUGCUAAAUUUGGAGGGAUAACAGGGUCAAUCUUUGUUACAUGGGCAAUGUCUACAACAGUGUACUCGCUAAAACUCGACACAUUUGAGAAGUGAAAUAAAGGUUGUCCAUCAAGAUCUGAGAAUCUACUUGUUUCAUAUCUAGGCAUCCAAGGAGUGGUUUUGAAAGGAACACCUGAACAAAGAUUACUUUUAUCUGAUUUACAAUCCAUGCAAUUCUCACAAUUUGGUAUAAAUACUGGGAUAACAGUAUCUCCUUCCACCACUUCAUUUACAUAUUCUCCAACGCUCUCCACAAUCCUGAAACAUGAUCAAGGAAGCUUUAUUUCCAACACUUUAAGAAUUACAUAUAUAUAUAUAUAUAUAUGAGAAACCUCUGAUGAAAAAGUUAUGAGAAUUAAAAAAAGAACAUAUAAUAGAUAAUCUUUAAUUUUUACGUAAAAAAUCAUUAUUGAAAAAAUACUGCAUAACUAAACAAGACAAAGAAAUAUGAAAAUCAGAUUUUCUUCAUUAUGUAUUCGUACUUUUUUAAUGACAAAGAUAGACUUUAAUUUUUGUUAUAUAUAUAUAUAUGUGUAUAUUUAAACAUAAUGUAAACUAAACACAAAAAAGAAAAAAGGAUGUAAACGACAAUGUAACUCACCCGAUAGCUUCAUGGCCGAAGAUCGUUGGAAAGUAACUGGCCUUUAAACACAUAAUACAAGCGCAAACAAAUAUAAAUUGAUAAGUUAAUUCUUCAGUCCAGAUUAUAUAUAUAUAUAUGACUUACGUAUAUAUGUAUAGACAAACCAUAUAUGUAUAUUAGAGAAAGAGAUUUAGCGAGACCUUCAUCCUCCAAAAGCUUAUGUCACUCAAGCAAAGAGAGGUGCAAAUUAUCUUGAUCCGAACCUCGUGAGGACUAGGCGGAGCUACCAUGAUCUCCUCCAUGAUUAGAGGCGUCCCUGCUUCGCGACAUACGGCAGCUAUAGUUUGUUCAUGCAAAGUGAACAAAUAAAUCCUCUCAAAUUAAAUCAUCAAAAAGAGAAUAGGAAACUAGUAGAAUAAACUAAUGAAACUUAGAUCAUUACCUCUGCAUCGAAUUGGUUUCCCAGCGGUUUUGUUUCCAGAAUCCAUGAGGAAAGCAGAUGAAAAAACUCACUAGUACAAAGUAUGAUGAAUAUGGUUGAUGGGGGUUGGCGGUGAAAGACAAAGGAGCCAUAGUAUUUAUAAUUAAACUAAAUAUGCUUCCUCAUGAGCUACCAUAAAUGACUGCUAAUUCUAGGGUGAAUAAUGUAUUUAAUCUUGGCCUUUUGAAUUUGAAAACUUAUUGACUGCUAAUUCUAGGGUGAAUAAUGAAUAAAUGAUCAUAACUCUCUGUCAGUCCCUAGUGGAUAAAUUUACUUAGUAAUUAAUUGAUUUUCAUUUGAUGCGGUGAUUUUAGACUAUUAUAAAUUCAAUAUCAAUAAAUGAACGUAACUCAUUUGACUUUUUGAAUUCGAAAAUUUAUUAAUGGUCAAUUAAAUUUCAUUUGAUACAUUGAUUUUAGAGUAUUAUAAAUUUAAUAUCAAUAAAUGAUUGUAACUCACUGUUCUUAAAUAGAUAAUGUAGUAAUCUUUGACUUUUUGAAUUUAAAAAUUUAUUGGUGGUUAAUUGACUCUGAUUUGAUACACGAUUUUAGAGUAUUAUAAAUUUAAUAUCAAUAAAUAAUGAAACUCAUGUCAGUCCCUAAAUAGAUGAUAUAAUAAUCUUGACUUUUUGAGUUUAAAAAUUCAGUAUCAAUAAAUGAUUGUAACUCACUGUAAGUCCCUAGGUGAAUACCGUUGUAAUUUUGACUUUUUGAAUUUGAAAAUUUAUUGGUAGUUAGUUGACUCUCAUUUGAUAUAUUAAUUUUAGAGUAUUAUAAAUUCAGUCUCAAUAAAUUAACAUAACCGGCUACCUGUUCCUAUGUGGAUAAUGUAGUAAUCUUAACCUUUUGAAUUUGUAAAUUUACUGAUGGUUAGUUAACUUUUAUUUGAUACAUUAAUUUUAGAGUAUUAUAAAUUCAGUCUCAAAAAAUCAUCAUAACUGCUUACUAAUCCCCAUAUAAAUAAUAGAGUAAUUUUAACCUUAUGAAUUUAGAAAUUUAUUGUGGUUAGUUGACUCUCAUUUAGUACAUUAAUUUUAUAGUAUUAUAAAUUUUGUCUCAAUAAAUUACCAUAACUGGUUACUAGUCCUUAGGUGGAUAAUAUAGUAAUAUUGACCUUUUAAAUUUAGAAAUUUAUUAGUAGUUAAUUGACUCUCAUUUGAAACAUCGAUUUUAAAGUAUUAUAUAUUCAGUCUUAAUAAACUAAUAUAAUUGGCCGCUAGUCCCUAGGUGUAUACUGUAGUAAUCUUAACGUUUUGAAUUUGUAAAUUUAUUAGUGUUUAAUUGACUCUCAUUUGAUACUUUAAUUUUCGAGUAUUAUAAAUUCAGUCUCAAUAAAUUAUCAUAAUUGUCUGCUAGAUCAUAGGUAGAUAAUGUAAUAAUCUUUACCUUUUGAAUUUAGAAACUGAUUCUCAUUGAUACAUAANNNNNNNNNNNNNNNNNNNNNNNNNNNNNNNNNNNNNNNNNNNNNNNNNNNNNNNNNNNNNNNNNNNNNNNNNNNNNNNNNNNNNNNNNNNNNNNNNNNNNNNNNNNNNNNNNNNNNNNNNNNNNNNNNNNNNNNNNNNNUAAAUUCAGUCUCAAGAAAUUAUCAUAAUGUCUGCUAGUUCAUAGAUGGAUAAUAUAGUAAUCUUGACCUUUUGAAUUGAAAAUUUAUUAGUAUAUAGUUGACUCUCAUUGAUACAUUAAUUUAGAGUUUUAUAAAUUCAGUAUCAAUGAUUCCUAUAUGGAUAAUGUAGUAAUUUGACCUUUUGAAUUUAAAAAUUUAUUGGUGGUUAGUUGACUGUCAUUUUAUACAUUAAUUUCAGAGUAUUAUAAAUUCAGUCUCAAUAAACUAACAUAAGUGGCUGCUAGUCUGUAGAUGAAUAAUAUAAUAAUCUUAGCCUUGUAAUAUUGAGAAAUACAUCAUCUAUAUUGAGAUAUAUAUUUAAAUAUAUUUGAAAAUUUAUUGAUAGUUAGUUGGUUCUCAUUGGACACAUUAUUUAGACUAUUACAAAUUUAAUCUCAUAAGUUAUCAUAACUGUCCGCUAGUUUUCAGGUGGAUAAUAUAAUAGUCUUUAUCUUAUGAUAUCGAGAAAUAUAUCAUUUAUAUUGACUUAUAUAUUUAGAUAUAUUUAAAAAUUUAUUAGUUAUUAAUCGACUCUCAUUUGACAUAUUGAUUUUAUUCUAUUACAUAUUCAAUUUAUAAAAAGUGACAAAAUUGAUUUGUAGCUUUAAAAACCACACUAUUGCUUAGUCUAUAAAUUAAUAAACCAAAAACUCAACAUUACAUUCAACACUUCAGGAAUCUCAUUACCACUCGUGAUAAGAUGGAAAGCAUAUGAGUAUACGAAUUCAAUUAAGUCAUGAAAUAAAGUCAAAUUCUUUCUUUCUUUUUUUUCCCUUCACCUACAAAGGGAAAAAAAUGGCCUAUUACUCGUAUUUAAGUCAAUGUCUCCAAAUGAAGGUAGAUGUAAAACUCUUUAUGUAAACGAAUUGACUUAUCCCGUAAAAUGUGAAUACAUUGCUUCAAAGGGUCAUGCAAGAAUUUUCUUUCCUAUAGAUAUAUUACAUAUUGAUAUCUUAUUUUCUAUAAAGAAGAGUCCUAAUAUCAUCAAUCAUAAUCAUAUAUUAUGUACAAAAUUCUAUACGAACAAAAUUAGUGUAACCAUAUUAAUAGAAGUGUCUAACUACAUUUUUAUCUUCAAUUUAAAUUUUUUAAGGUUAACAAAGGCUUUGGUUUCUCAUAUUAGCCAAAUAAUUAGAGGAAAUUAUCCUAAUUAACAAUAAAUGUCAAAUUUAUCGAAUCCCAAAUAAAAAAUUUAAAUGAUCAAAUUAUAAUAAAAAAAAUAUUAAAUAUCAAAUUAUAAUAAAUGUCAAAUUUUAAUGAUUAAUUCAUUAAUUUACUCUAAAUUUUUUAAAUAACUUCUAAAAAAAUUGACUUUACAACAAUAAAAAUAGAGUAUCGUAUCAACUUCUUUACAAGAGAAUUAUUUUUAUUGAAUAAAAUCAUCAUCAAUUCCAUCAAAUUAAUGUAAAAACAUAAUUAUGUGAUAUAAUAAGUGUAUAAAUAAAUACCAAUAGUUAUGUUUGAGUCGGCCACUUCCCAUCAAAUUUUUCCUUCCAUAGAACACAACGAGUGCACUUUCCUUCACUAAGCAAAUCAAAGGCUUUGUUGAUAUCUUCGAAUUUCAUCUCACGUGUAAUGAAAUUUUCAAGUUCAAAUUCCUAAAAGAAUUACCAAAAAUCAUAUCAACAAAUAAUUACAUAUGUUAGAUAAUUAAUUGAAUUGAAAUCGAAGAAAUUAGUACGUAUAAAGUAGCAUCAUAAGACUAUUCUAAAACAUACGCUACAUUUAGAAUAUAAAAGAAUUUCUUAAUAUAUAUUUUUUUCUAUACUGGUAUAUAUUUAUAUAUAAAGAAGACACCAAAAUGUUUUCAAUAAAAAAAAAAAGAAACUAAAACGUUACCUUAUUCAAAUAACGAUUUAGAAGAAUGUGAAUAUCGUAUUUAACUUUGAUACCUCCAAACAAAGACCUAAUUAGUUUUUUUCCAUCCCGUAUAAGUUCGUAAAAGUUUAAGAUCAAUUGUGACCCCGAUUUAUCUACACCUACUACAAUUGUCUUUCAACAAUCUUGAAUUACAAAAAUUUUAAGAUAAUUAUUAAAAAUAUUCUUACUAUUAAUAGUUAGAAUAUUUUUAAAUCAAUUUUUAGACGUUAAGAUUAAAUUUCUUUCAAUUCUAAUAAAAUAUAUGUUAUUUAUAUUUAAACUAGAAAAUUUUCAAUAAAUAUCUCAUAUAAAUAUGUUAUUUUAUACAAACACAUAUACUAACAAGCGUAUUAUGAACAAAUCAUAUAAUACCCAAAAAUAAAUAAAUUUCAAUAAAUAUCUCAUAUAAAUAUAUUAUUUUAAGCAUAUACAUAUACUUGCAAGUUUAUCAUGAACAAAUCACAGAAUACAAGGAAAUAAACAUCAUGAUAUCACCAGCUAGUCAUCCUGUAGAAUUGAAAAUUUAUGGAUUAGCAAUUAUGUAAAGUUAGUUUCAUGCAUUUAACUGUUGCCUCAGCAUUAUACAGUGUUUUACCUUCAAAGCUUUAACUAUACAUGCUUAUAAACCUUACCAUGACAUGUAUAUGUAAGUUCGUGCCACCAAUAUGCAUAUAAAGUGCUGUAUAAAAUUUUGGGAAACGUAUGUAAUUUUCAUAUAUAAUCACAGUUAUAGCCUAAAAUAUCAUUGAAGUAAGAGUAAUAUAACACACCAGCAAAUUCAGAGAAGUAAAAAAAACCUUUUUGCAGCAAGCAUAUGCUUCGUGCACCAAGGUAAAGCAGCAGUCUGCACCACGAUCACCAGUCAUAUCCAAGAUUACCUAUUCAACCACAUUAAACAAGCUAGUUAGUUCUUUAAACUUGUUUUUACCAUUACAAAAAUUUCUAUCUUUUAUGAUGUAUAUGGAUAUAACUUUAAUAUUUAUCAUAUAAAACCUCUUUCAGUGGCUUAUCCCCACAAUCUUUAGCAUUCACAAAUUCUGUAAUCCCAAACUUUUUUCCUACAUGGUUCAGAAAUCAAACACAUCAGCGUAGAAAUCAUAAAACCCAUGUCGGCCAUUACUUCUUGAAAACAUUAACUCACCAAUUUCGUGUUUUUCUGGAUUCAUAUCAACGCCUGUAAACCUCGUAGCACCACGUAGUCGUGCUCCCUUUGCAACCUAGAAAUUACCUCUCAUAACGUAAAACUUUUUUUAUCGUAUCACAUGCAAGUGUGGAAUUUUGAAGAAAUAUAUACAUGAAUUGUUUGUAAUUGUUCAAAAAGAAAAUUUUGCUAGACAAUACCGCUAGUCCAAUUGACCCGAGCCCGAAUAUAACCACAGUUGAUCCCGCCUUCGCCUUUGCUGCUUUCCAAGCUGCACCUACCCCUAUUAUACAUAUAUAAAUUUAGUCGUAGUUUUUUGUUUACUUAAGCAGACUUUCAGAAGAUGAUAAUAUUAAAUGUCAGUACCUCUUGAAACCCCACAACUGAAAAGAUAUGCUAAGCUUGGAGGAAUUACAUCUUCACUAUCUGGGUUUUAUCUGUUACAGUAUAUUCACUAAAAACUUGAUACAUUAAGGAAGUGAAACAAAGUCUCUCCUUUGAGGUCUGUAAACCUACAAGAUUCAUAUCCAGGCAUCCAAGGAGAAAUUCUAAAUGGGAAUUUAAAGACAAACAUUGUUUUUCUUUAAUAUGCAGUUUUCACAUCCUCCACAAGCAGAUAUGAAUACUGGGAUAACAGUAUCUCCUUCAGCCACCUCAUUUACAUGGUCUCCAACACUGUCCACAACCCUACAACACAUUUAAUUCAUAGUAAAUUCAAGUACGUUGAUGUUAGACUAAUGGAGAAAUAAUAUUAAUAAUGAUAUUGAAAAUUCCAAGUUUAUUUGAGAAUACACGAUGAACAUAAGACAAGUACGAGUGCAAAAUCUUAUUAUUUUAACUAAUAAUUUAUACAUCAUUUAAUUUGUUAAGAAAAAAAUUAUAGAAGACCGACGUAGAGAGUACCAAAUUGAGGAACUUAAAAAGAGAAAACGCCUAAGGUGUUUUCUAAGACACUAAAGAACAUUAUAACAAAAUUUUAUGGUGGACCACGAUAAUGGAGGGUUCAAGGCAAAUAUCACACUUAUCAUCUCCCAUUAACACUCAUUUCUUGUCUCUAACAUUAGAUUUUUUAGUGAAGAGUUUUCUUUUUUUGAAUGUUUAAAUAUCUACUAUAAUAUAGUAAUGUUAAAGUUGCUCGCCCGAUAGCUUCGUGGCCCAGAAUUCUUGGAAAGCAAGCAGGAGGAAUCUUCAACCGGGUAUCACACAGACAAGAAGCAAACGAACAAAAGCAACUCUUUUAAGUCCAUAACAAUACACUGUACAUAAUAGAUAUAAAAUUAUUCUUUUUCAAAGAAGAAGAAAAGAGAAAGAGAUGGAAAGAGGACCGUCAACUUCCAAAAGGUAAGAUCGGUGUGGCAGAGAGCGGUGCAGAUGAUCCGAAUCCGGACCUCACGAGGACUUGGUGGAGCCACCACGAUGUCCUCUAUGACCAGAGGCUCCCUUGCUUCCCGACAAACCGCAGCUGCAUGUAGUCGGAAAGCCAAAGUUUUGACCUUUUAAAAUCAAUAAACCUACGAGGCAACAAAUUCAGACCAGACCAUACCUUUGCAUCGUAUCGGCUUCCCUGAUGUUUCCCUCGGGUCCAUGAUGAAAACCAGGUAUACCGAAGCUGUUAAUAUAUUAUGUAGAGAUGGAUUUGAUCAGCGUGAGUGGUGGAAGAUAAACAAGAUCGUCCCAGAAUCUAUAGAUGCACGGUUUCUUUUCUAGUCAGAAGAGUCUGAGUGCAUUGGGAAUCAACCAAUUAUGGGUUUUUUGUUAUUACCGAAUACUAUUUUCUUAAUUCAUACGUAUAUAUCUGUUUGUAAUAAAUGCCUUCACAUUAAUCAUCUUAAUAUAGUUGAUUAAUAAGUUGAUAUCGCGUUGUAUAGAUUACGCUACAGUUCCAGCUUUUCCCAUACCUGGACUGAACCUAGACAACCUUUGUACAAGCAGUUAAUACGGUGUAAUCUAACCAGAUAAAUGCAAAGUAAUUAAGGAAUCAGAAUACUGGCAAUGCUGCGGAUUAUUUACCCAAAUGAGCAGAUUAAAGCAUUUGUAGAAACCUAUAUUUGUUAUAAAUAUAUGAUAAUUUCUAAAAUGGUAAAUUUGGGUAAUAAAAUCAUAUAAGCACAAUUAAGGGAAGUGCAAAUGAGGAAUCGAUUCAAGAUCUUAUCAGAAAAAAGACUUCACAAGCUGAUAACACCAAGAAUAUAACACAAGCUUAGAUUCUUAAGUGUAGUUUCAUAAUUCUGCCUCCUUGACAUUUUUAAAGCUAACUUUAUAGCUCAUUCUAGCCUUCAUCAAGGUGUUAGACAUAACCGUUCAAUCAAAAAUAACACGAAUCCAAACAAAGGGUUCGAGGUAAAUCAAGCUCGAGCCAAUUAACGAUUGUGUAGGGUACCGGACCGACAACAUUCGGUCGAUAUUCUUUAGCACCUCAACUCAAGAAAAUCGUUGUAAAAAAAUAAAUAAAUAAAAGUUCUAAAAUCAAACAAAAAUGAUAUAAAAAUAUUAUGCUGCAAGAAUAAGCAUAAAUAUAUGUGAUUUAUUUUUUAAUUUUUUUUCUUAAUAUAAAUUCAUACAUUUUAUUGAAAUUAAAAAUAAUAAAUUCUCCUGAUAAGCACAAAUAAAACAUAAUAGUUUAAUAUUUAAACUCAUAUCUUUAUUAAGAUAUGUAGAAAGUAACAAAUGGUUGAUAAGAAUAAAUUUUUUAUAAUUUUUCAUCCAAAAAAAAAAAACAAAAAUUAAUUAAUAUUAUAACAAAGGCGCAACACGAAGAUCUCGUCCAAUGUGCUCAGAGAAUCUCGCUCGCUGCAGGUGGAGAAGGUGAAGGUGAAGGUUUAAAAGCAAUUGCUACGGAGACUUCUGUAAUUGCCUCCUUCUCUUUUUGUAGGUUUCCAUUAAUACUGCAGCUCGGUGUCCGAAGAUCAUCUUCAGAUUUGCUUUUGUAAGUUAACGAGCCACACAGUAGUACUCAGACUGCUUCAAAUCUUAGUUAUUAAGAAUUUACUUGAUUUUUUUCUUAAACAAGGACAAGAUAAAAUGGUUAUUUUAUUUGAAUUAACAACGUUUAUGGCAGUUGAUCCAUUUUGUAGGCAUCCUCAAGUGGGCUGAAGCAAACAAAAUCAUAAGAUUAAUUUCUCGGGGGCUCGCGGAUCGGCCCGGCCAUCACCGAUGCUUAUUUUAGUACCAUAUCCGGAUAAAUAUAAGCAGAGUAAUGUUUGACAGCUUUGCUGUUUGGUGUACCAUAUAUAUAUAUAUAUAUAUAUAUAUAUGGACCCCCUCUCCACUCCCCUCUUACGCCCUCACCUGCUUUCAGUCGUUCUUGGCUUCUAGUAAUAUUCUUCGAUUAAUCUAGAUUCAUUUCCCGUCUUCUUUCGUCAUGGAUUCCGGCAAUCUCUCAAGCAAAACCGCAGGCAAACCCAUUCGAUGUAAAGGUAAGUUCACCUUAUCCCGUCGAUUUAUCUCAAAAAUGCUCUCUCUCGUUUUUUACCUCUUGAAUCCAGAGCCAUGGAAUUUGACCAAGUUUAAUUUUCAUUUCGCCGUGAACAAACUGUAGCCGCCGUUUGUCGCAAAGCAGGGGAGCCUCUGGUCAUCGAGGAAAUCAUCGUGGCUCCGCCGAGUCCUCAUGAGGUUCGCCUCCGGAUCAUCUGCACCACUCUCUGCCACAGCGAUCUCACCUUUUGGAAACUGACGGUCUUCUCUCUCUCUUUUUAUCUCUUCAUUAUUUCUUUAUCUGUUUAUAUACGUGCAUAUAUUACAUAUACAUAUAUAUAUAUAUAGAGAGAGAGAGAGAGAGAGAAUGAGUUGUAUGAUCUGGAUUGAAGAGUUAUUAUUUUCUGCGGGAUCCAUGAUUUGCAGGUUCCUCCUGCUUACUUUCCACGAAUUCUGGGCCAUGAAGCUAUCGGGUAAAAGCCAGUCCCUUCCAUUCUUCUUUUCCGCUACAUGUGUUCUAAAUUGUUAAAACGUAUUCUCAAACAAAACUUGUUAUUAAAAAUUAUUAAUACUAUUUAAUUUACUUAAUUAUGUUCUAUAAUCAGUACUAAAUUUUAAAUAAUUAUCAUAAUUAUUUAAAUAAUAUUAAAUACUUUGUAAUUUUAUAAUCGUUGCAAUUAUUGGUAAUAUAUUUAUUUCGAUUUAAUGUGUUUAUUUAAUGAAAAUAUUAAUUUUUUUUUUUUUAAAGCAUUCCAAGUGAUACACCUUGCAAGAUAUGAACAAAGAGGGCAAGAUAUUAAUGUUAAAAUUUAUUUUCUACAACAAUCUCGUUUUCAUUAAUGGAUUUGCUGAAGAAUCCCUCCAAGAAUCGCCUGACGCCAUUAAGAUAAAGACCCAUCUUGAUUUUUUCUUUCAAUUUAAUGUAGUUCGUCUAUCCUUUUCUCUCCCUCUCUCUCUCUCUCUCUCUCUCUCUCUCUCUCUCUCUCUCUAUAUAUAUAUAUAUAUAUAUAUGACAGAUCUGUUUACAGUAUGAAAUGACAAAUUAAAUAUUAAUUAAAUUAUUAAAUAGUCCUGCAUGCCUGCAGUAUGCAUAUCUGUAGGAUUUGAAUCAAGGCAAUUGUUAUUUUUAUCUUCUUCCUGGUGGAGUUUUCUUUUGUCUCGAGCUUACUGGUAUACUCCCCAAUAGAUGUUGUAAUUAUGUUAUAAUUAGUGAUAUAAUUGUUAGUGUUAUUCUUCGUUACUUGAGGGUUAAAUAUGUUUCAGGGUUGUGGAGAGUGUGGGAGACAACGUAGAUGAAGUGGCAGAGGGAGAUACUGUCAUUCCAAUAUUCAUCUCUGAUUGUGGAGAAUGUGAAGAUUGCACGUCAAAGAAAAGUAAUCUUUGUUCUAAAUUCCCUUUUGAAGUGUCUCCUUGGAUGCCUAGAUACGACUCCACUAGGUUUACAGAUCUCGAAGGAGAUGUUUUGUUUCACUUUCUCAAUGUGUCGAGUUUUAGUGAGUAUACUGUGGUAGACAAAACUCACGUCGUAAAGAUUGAUCCCACCAUCCCUCCAAACAGAGCAUGUCUUCUUAGUUGUGGAGUUUCUACUGGUAAACCAUUAAGUUUAUCAUCUCUAAAAAUUUUAUAUAAUUUACUAGUAAGUACUGAUAAAUAAAUAUGUACAUAUACAUAUAUAUGUGUGUAAAAUUUGAGAUGAUAUAGGGGUUGGUGCGGCUCUGAGAACAGCAGAUGUUGAGGCAGGAUCAACUGUUGUUAUUUUUGGAUUAGGGUCAAUUGGAUUAGCGGUAUUGUAUCGUACUAAUUUCUUUCCAAAAAUUCAUAUUCAUCGUGAUAUAUUGAAAUGCUUUUUAUGUUGUGAGAGAGUUUUUCAGGUUGCAGAAGGAGCACGUUUAUCUGGUGCUACGAGAAUAAUAGGUGUUGAUGUAAAUCCAGAAAAAUUUGAAACUGGUGACUUGACUUCGUUUUCUCUUUGUGACUUUUUUUUUUUCUUUGUUUUUUUUUUGGUCUUGAUGAUAUCUACUGCUCAAUUUUGCUGACAUUCUUCAUCUUUCACUUCCUGCAGGAAAAAUAUUUGGGGUUACAGAAUUUAUCAAUGCUAGUGAUUGUAGAGAUAAGUCUGUGAAAGAGGUUUUUUCUCUACUGUUAUAUUGGCAUUAAAUUGUAUGUCAUUAAGUGAUUAAAAAAAAAAAAUUGUAUGAUUGAAAAGAAUUUUUGGUUUUGGUUUGUUGACUUGAGUAGGUGAUCAUGGAGAUGACUGGUGGUCAAGGUGCAGAUUAUUGCUUUGAAUGUGUUGGCUUGGCAUCUUUGGUACAUGAAGCAUUUGCUUGCUCCAGAAAGGUCUAUCUAAUGCAUUCUUUGUGUGCAUAUGGGUAUCAUAAAUAAUGCUGGAUUCAUCUAUCUUAGACAUAUUAGGAUGCGGGUUGAAUCAAUUUACACGAUGCAUGUUAUUAGAAGAUGAAUUUAUAGUCGUGUAGCACUCCCGAUCUUUUAAGAUAAGAUUGUGGAAUACAAACAACUACGAGUAACUAACGUGAAAUUAAUUUUAAUUACUUCCUUAAAAGAUAAAUUUUCUUAAGUCUAACUCGUGAUAUAAUUAGUGUUUGCGUUGUGAAAUGGGCAAUUAAAAUUCUCUUUGUGUCAUAGUUGAGAGUUAGACUAGAAACAUAAGAAAGAAUGUAAAGGGAGAAAAAAACCAAAAGAGGUAAUUGAAAUUUCUCUUAUCUUAUUUUGAUGAUUAAAGAACAAAUGAAUAACAAAUCCAACACGUGGUCUUAGGCCUUAGAGUCAAAUCUUGCUUUCAAUUCGGAAUAGAGAGAUACAAUUGUAAUUUUUUCAAAUUAACAGGUAUAAUCUUAAUUAGUCUUAAAAUUCAAAGUAGUCAAUAAAGUGUGUUUUCUCUUGUGAAAUAUUAAGAAUAAUUGUAAUAUUUGGGUGAGUUGUAAAAUUUUCAACUAUUGGAUAAUGAUAAUUGUCAUGUAAGCAUGUGGUAUAACAUGUUCAAUUUUUUUUUUCUCUGUUUAUCAUUUUUUAUUUUCUUUACAUUACUGAUCUUCUAGCUUAUUCAACUUUCUAUCCGAUUGAAUAGUUAAUAAGAUCAUCGUAUCUAUAUUUAAGUGUAUAUGUGAUGUUUUAAGUAAAAUAAUGACAGUUGUUUAUCAUAAAUUUUUAUGAUUCAGGGUUGGGGAAAGACAAUUGUAGUGGGUGUGGAUAAACCCGGGUCACAGUUAAGCUUAAGCUCUUAUGAUGUUCUUCAUUAUGGGAAAACCUUAACAGGAUCUUUAUUUGGAGGUCUUAAACCUAAAUAUGAUAUUCCUAUUCUUCUAAACCGUUAUGUAAAUAAGGUAAUUUUUUUUUUCAAUUCUUGAGUUUUUUAUUUAUUUUUGUUUUCUCUCGUUGAUAAAAUAACAUAUCUUCAUUAACUAACAAAUUUAGAUUUAUUCAGUAUACAAAGAUAUUCUAUUUUUUUCCUUUACACUACACAUAUGUUUAUACAUAAAAGUAUGUAUGUUAGUAUUUGAAGUUGACACUUAAAAAAUAAUAAAAAUAAUUUUUAAAAAAUAUAAAAAAUAAUAUUACUAAAAUUUACUAUUAUUUUUAAUUUUUUUAAAGAAUUGUCAGUUACAAAAUCGACACUGCAAUAUGUAUAUAAACUUUAAACAUUAAAAGAUUUAUUAUGUACUAAUUAUAAUAUAUAUUAUUAAUAUAGUGACAAAUUAUUUUUAAUUUAAAUUAAAUAGUGAGAGUAAUUAACUGAAUGAUACGUUGUGAUGACGAUUAUCUAUAUAAAUAUGUAUUAAUUAUAUUUUGGUGGUUAUUUUAGGAGUUACAACUUGACAAGUUCGUUACACACGAGAUGAAAUUUGAAGAUAUCAACAAAGCAUUUGAUUUGCUUAUUGAAGGAAAGUGUAUUCGAUGUGUGCUUUGGAUGGAGAAAAGUUGAUAGAACUAUUACAAUUAGCACAUGUUUAAGAGUUUGAAAUAAACCACGUGGGUUUCACAUGUUGAAUUCUCUUUCUUGUUAUAAUUGACGACUUAAAAUAAUAUGAUAAAUAUCUUAUUUGCCACAUUUGGGGUACAAAAAUUAUCAUCAUAAUAUUUUCUUUAUUCAUUUUAAUUAAGUAUACAAAUUUUUUUUUGUGUGUAUUAUUAUCGAGUGAUAAAAUUAUAUAUAGCAAUUAAAAAUGCUUAUAUGUAAUUUUAGAUAAUCAUUGCACGAAUGGUUAAUAUUGAAAGUGAAUAUGAAGAUCAAGUUGAUACUGGUUACUAAAAGUUAUUUGAUGAGUAGAAAUAACUUAUCAGACUUCAAAAUUAAAUAUAUACUGUAAAUAUAAAAUGAAACUAAUCGAAUGUAAAUUUAUAUAAUCUUUACAUAUUUAGUAUCGACGUACGUGAAAUAAUAAGUAUUUGAAAAUUUAUAAAUAUUGAACUAUAGCAAUUAAAUAGAAAAAGUGUCGAAAAGAAAAAAAAAAAAAAGUAAAAUUAGGAAAAAGGUUAAGAUGAUUAUGAAAAAGGAAACUUAUAUUGUAAUAAUAUAAUCAAAGAUCCUAAAAUAAUAAUUUUUGAUUAAUUUCACAUUAUUGCAUUAUACAGUUAGUUUACCUAAACGUACACAUUCUACUUUGACUUACUUUCUUACAUAAUUUUUUAUAAUUUUACUUUCAACGACUAGUUUAAUCAAAUAAAAAAUUAUAAUUUUUAAAAUAACAAUUUUUAUACAGCUAUUUCUAUUAAACACGUAAUAAUUUUUUAUUAAAAGUGAUUUUACUUAAUAAUUAUUUUAUCAACACUUUUAUAACUCACAAUUAAAUAUAAAAUUAUGCUAAACACACCUUAAGUUAUAUAAGGAUAUUAAAGUAAUUAAAUCUUAAUCAUUACAAAAUACUAUAUAUGGAGUUAUUAUCUUUAAAAGAAGAGGUUAAAAAUUUGAGUCAGAAAUUAAGUGAACUCUGUCAAAAUAGAUAUUUAUUUGUCUUGUAUAAAAAAAAAAUAAUUAGUAAACAAACAACGAUCAUUCUAAAUAUUCGAAAAAUAUUUCAAUCAUCUAAAAUUAUAACUCAUAUUUAAAAUGAUUCAUAUAUCUCGUGUUGUAAUUUAUAUAUAGUUUAAAAAUAUUAUAAAAUUAAUAAUUAUUUAUUGAUUGAUGGAAUACUAUAAGUGAUAUAUGUUUAUUACUAUCGAUUAAUAGAAUAAUUAUCAUUAACUUUAAAAUAUUUUAAAGUUUUACUUUUUUAAUUUUACGUCAAGUUAUAAUUUAAAUUUUUGUAAUUCAUUCGUGGAUAAGUGAAACACAAAUUUUAUAGUUGUAGAAUCGAAUGCAAAAGUGAAGUUAGUUUAUUUAUAUAUUAAUGUAAAUGUUAUAAUUAAUUUUUUUCAUAUCAAAUAAUUAAAAUUGAAAAUUUAAUGAGAAUUAAAUGAGUUGGGACCAAAUAUAAAGAAGGGAGAAGCACGACUUAGCGUCAAAACGACGUCGCUGCAGGGAUUUCCUUCCUGCGAAAAUAAAAAGAAGGGAAAAGCACGACUGGGCGUCAAAACGACGUCGCUGCAGGGAUAUGAAAAGAAGGGAGAAGCACGACUUAGCGUCAAAACGACGUCGCUGCAGGGAUAUGAAAAGAAGGGAGAAGCACGACUUAGCGUCAAAACGACGUCGCUGCAGAGAUAUGAAAAGAAGGGAGAAGCACGACUUAGCGUCAAAACGAUGCCGCUGCAGGGAUUUCCUUCCUGAGCAAAUAACGCAAGGCAUACUGCAUCUAGAUUCUUCUCCGGCAUUGUAGAAUACAUAUCACAAAACAGCUACUUGAUCCGCUCGAACCCUGCGCGAAUCCAAGCAGACCUAUUUACACGCUCCGUACACUCUUUUUCCAUAUAUUUUCUUUACCAUUUUUCACUGUGCAGCGAUCAAAUCGAAGGUCGAAGCCGCUCUGUGCCUUAAAUCUUCUCUCUGCGAUUCCAGGUUUUUGCACCGGAAGCUUUCGUUUCUUUUGUAUUUUCCAUUUAACUGGUUAUCAAUCAUGCCUAAAAGCCCAAAUGAAACUUGUUUUCCUUUUCUUUUUGUUGAUCAGUAUCGUGUAUCUGAAUUUGUUACCCUUUGACUAAGAGUUGUCAAUCUUGAUUCUGGACCUUGUUUGAUUAUUUAAGCCUUCUAAUCGGAGGAUAAAUCUGUUUUUUUUUUCUCAUGAAUAGAAGAUCAGUAUUGGGUAUUAUUUUAUUAGGGUGCGUGUUAGUGUUUUCCCUGAUUAGCAGCCGUUUGGUUCCCUUUGAAGUUGUUGGGAUGGGCGUUAGUGUCCAUUUCUACAUUUGAUUUUGUACAUUACAUGUGGUGAUUUGGCGCUCACAUUUUUUGGUUUUGUUUAUAUAUGCACUUUUGGGGAAAAAGAAGAAAGGAAAUCCCCAAGAUCAGGGGCUCUCUGAACAAUGAAUAACAUUUGAACAGGAGAUUUGGCUGUGGGGAUAGAGGCAUUUGUUCAAUCAAACUAGAAGCAGUCUGCAACCUUAGUUACUUUCGUGAAAAUGGUACUUGUGGGGAUGUCUUUUGAGGAAAAUGAAAGUUUUAAUGCUGAUGUAUUGGCUUUCAGCUGAUUCCAUGUUUUGAUAAUAUAAUGCAAGAUUAUUUCUUUCUGGAAUCAUGGUUUUCUUUUGGGGGGACCGGUUUGGGGGGAAAGAGAAUGAGAAGAGAGGGGGGGGGGGGGGGGGUUUGGAUGCAUACUGUUUAAAGUGGGUAAGACAAGCUACAUGUAGUAGAAUGAUAAUUUGAUGGUUUAAAUCAUAAGAUUUACAAUCUUUACAGCCUCUCUUAUUUGGCUGUAGUUUGACCUUGUUUGUUCAUGAAAAAGUUUUGACUUUCCUUCAGAAAAAUUGCUCUUACAUUUGAUAGGUAAAUAAAUUUUCAGGUGGAAGCAUUGCAUUAUUUAAACACCAUUUUUCAUUUUCUCCAAUCUUUAUCUAAAUGGAAUUUUGUCUGGUCAUAUAGCUUAUGUUAUAUGUAAAACAUGUGUUCAAAUUGAAAAUGAAAAUAGUGUUAAAAAAAUCAUGAUAAAAAUGUAGAAAGAGUUUGAAAAGAACCCAAAGAUUUUGAUCCUUUCCGAAAAUUCUUUUUAUUUAUACUUGAAUACUACUUACACUCACCAGUAUAUGUUUUUAUUAUGGAUGUAUAUGUGUUUGGAGAAUAAAAAAGAGAAAAUAAUUUCAUAUACCAAAAAAGCCUGUUAGUAACUGGAAUAUUUCUUAUCUCAUAUACAAGCAUAUGGAAGUAACUUUUAAUUCAAAUUAGAUAUAUGGUGUUUACCCCCCUUUUGUCCUAACAUACUCGUUGCUAACAUAUGUAUCUGAGCAGUUUCUAUUACUUUGAUCUUGUUCUUUGUUUCUAGGUUUUGGUGUCAUUAAAACAUCAUGGGGGACACGUGCCAUGAUGAAGGUUCUAGCAGCUGCAAUCGUUCUGGAGAGAGUUCCAAUUCAGUUGUUGAGCUCAAUAUCAAGACUCUGGAUUCACAGAUUUAUAGCUUUCAAGUAGAAAAAAAUGUAAGCAGUAAUAUUCUGUAAUAAUAUUUGUUAUUUGCUUUUGGUCACUCUAUUAAUCCAUUUCCUUGUUCAUUUAUUUUUUUUAUUCACUGAUAUUUGCAUUUCAUUUAUAUGUCAUUGUUGAUUUAUGUGGUAACAAUGAGAGAUCAGCAAUGGUGGAUUCAACAAAUUGUUUUAAGCUGAGCCAUUGGUGCAGUUUCAUGUGGAAUUUAAAAAAAAUCUCUACUGUUUUGGCUGAAAAUUGUGCUAACCUGAUUAUAUCUGAUAUUUUUUGGUAUUCAAAAUAAUUGCAGAUUCCAGUUUCAUUGUUCAAGGAGAAAAUAGCCAGCAAAAUUGGCAUCCCAGUCAGUCAACAGCGGCUGAUUUUCCGCGGAAAGGUCUUAAAGGAUGAUCAGCCACUUUCUGAAUACCGUAUCCUAUCUUUCUACUAAUUAGGACUUUAGUGAUUUUGCAUUUUGUUUAUCUGUACUAGUUACUGUUUAGAAACGGUAAUCUAAAUGUUACUAUUUGUGUUUUGCACUAAAGAAUGUGAUAUUGGUUAGAGAAAACAUAUAAUAUGGCAUAAUAUCGGUGAUCUAUGGCUAUUAUCUGAAACAUAGUAUUGGCUGUAAGAGUGUCACAUACUUGAAACUCUUCAGUUUGUCAUUCCCCAGACAUCUAUUUGCAGUUUGAUAUGCAUUUAUUCAUGCAGGCAAACUUGGUUGGCCCAUGAAAAUUUAAAAGAAAACACAAGGCAUGGUAGGACCCAUUGACAUGACUCCUUUGCAAGUUUUGCUGUGAAGAAUUUUGUAGUAUCAGUAAAUAGCUCUUAUCUAAAAGAGUGUGUUACUUAUACCUGUCCCAUAUUAGUAAAUUGAAUAUUAAAUCUUAAAUAUUUGAAUCAUUGGCUGGACUGAAUUGGCUGCCUUAAUCUGGUUUCUUUUGGUGGAUAUGCAGCUCAUUCCAUAGAAAAUGACCUAGUUAUUUUUCUCUUGUCCAUUUCUUGUUUCGUGGUGACUUGUCAUAUGUCCUGUUUCUAUAUUUUAUUUUUAUGCCGCAAAACUCUUAACCAUCUAUAGAUGUGGAGAGUGGGCAUACAUUGCAUUUAGUUGAGAGGCAGCCAAGUCAAUCGCAGCCUUCACCCAACACAGGCUCUGGAGAAAAUGGGAGUAACGGCAAUCGAGGUUGGUUCUUAAUAUAGAUUGCCUAUGUAGUGUUUCAAGUUCUGAACAUAUUUUGAGAAGUAACAUUUAUUACUCCUAAAGGGACCAAGUAUUGAUUUUUUUAAAAAAAAUUAGCAGGAAAUGAUAAUGCUACUGGUGCUGUUCGUAAUCGUGUUGGGCAAAUUUCACACAGCGUUGUUCUCGGCACAUUUAAUGUUGGGGACCAAGGUGAAGGAAUUGUUCCAGAUGUUACAAGGGUGGGUCAUUCACUCUUUAUGUCAUGGUUCUCGUGAGCUUUAUCUUUUGUACUAUUUUUGGUUCUAAUUCUGCUUGUGGAUGAUGAUGGAAACUGAAAAAAUGUAUGUAAUGUAAAAUUCUUCAUGUUUUGCAUGCAUGGCUUGCACAGGUUAUUGGGGCUGUUUUAAAUUCUUUUGGAAUUGGCGCCCAACCAACCACAAAUAUUACCCAAGCCCCAUCUUUGGUAAGUGUUUCUCUUUUUUUCUUCCUCUUGUAUUUUUUUCGUCCUCAAUGUUCACAUAGCAGAACAUUUGAUUUUAUAUGCUGUGUGAAUUUAUUGUAAGGGUCUUCUUAUGCAAGUCUAUACUUCAGUGUAGGAUCAAUAAAAGAUAAUCUGAUUACUUAAGGAUUUAGGAUAUACCUAGAAGCUAUGCCUAAUAAUUUUUUGGAUAUCUCAAAUAAGAAAGGAAUUCGCAUUUGAUUGCAUCACACAACUAUUAAAUUUUUUUAGCAAACUUAUAAAUCAUUAUUCCCGAAUGUCGGAUCUCAAAGGUGAGAUAGCUUCUUAUAAUAUUCUCUCUCUCUCUCUCUCUCUUACNNNNNNNNNNNNNNNNNNNNNNNNNNNNNNNNNNNNNNNNNNNNNNNNNNNNNNNUCACAUGUCACAGUAAAGGUGACAUCAAAGGUAGGGGGAUGUUCACUCUCCGGUCCAAAAGGAAAUGAGAACACAUAUCUAUGGAUUUUGUAGUGGUUACCAAGGACACGAUCAAAUCAUGAUACUAUCUGGUUGUGGUAGACCGUUGACCAAAAUCUGCUCACUUUUUGGCAACAAGGAGCUCGGACUAUGUGGACAAGUUAGGCAGGCUUUACGUGAAGGAAGUGCUCCGCAUACAUGGAAUUCUUGUAUCCAUCGUAUCUAACAGAGACCUUAGAUUACCUCCAGAUUAUGAGGAAGCUUUCAGCAGGCAAUCGGCACAAACCUGAAUUUUAGUAUAGCCUUUCACCCACAAAUAGAUGGAUAGAGAGAAAGAACUAUUCAGACACUAGAAGAUAUGCUACGAAUUUGUGUACUUGAUUUCGGUGGAAAUUGGGAUGAAUUAUUGCUUCUGAUGGAAUUCUCAUAUAACAAUAGUUAUCACGCCAGCAUAGGCAUGGUCCCAUAUGAAGCCCUUUGCGGGAGAUCUUGCAAAUCGCCAAUAUACUUGGAGGAGGUUGGAGAAAGGAGACUAAUCGGAUUGGAACUAGUGGAAAAGACCACCACAAAGGUAACUAUAAUCGAGAAAAAUCUCCAGACAACACAAUGCAAACAGAAAAACUAUGCAGAUAACAGAAGAAGAGAUCUAAGAUUUGAAACCGGGGAUCAUGUAUUCCUCAAGAUGUCCCCAAUGAAAGGUUUAUUGAGGUUUGAGAAGAAAGAGAAGUUGGGCCCUCGGUUUAUAGGGCCCUUCGAGGUAUUGACAAGGGUGGGCGUAGCAGCCUACAGGCUAGCACUGCCGCCAGAGUACUCAAGCAUACACAAUGUUUUUCAUGUAUCGAUGUUACGCAGAUACCACCCGGAUCUGUCCCACAUCAUACAACAUGAGACACUAUCCCUAUAGAAGGACACGACGUACGAAGAAAGACCAGUUUGUAUACUCGAAAGACAGGAGAAGAUGCUGAGAAAUCGAACCAUACCCAUGGUGAAAGUCUUAUGGCAACAUCACCCCAAAGAAGGGGCAACUUGGGAACGAGAAGAUAUGAUGAAGAUGAACCACCCUCAACUGUUUGAACAAAUAUGAUAAUGUACCAAAUUUGGGGACAAAUUUUCUUUUAGGGGAAUAUGUUGUAACGAGGGGAAAAAUCUUAUAACCCUGGGAUUCAAGGUAGUGUAUUAGGAAUUUAUAAAUUGAGAAAAAUAUAAAUACAUAUAUAUAGAUGAAAAAAAGAAGAAUUAUUCAUUGUUCAUAUAUGCCCACUGAAUUAAUAAACUCUUAUGUGAGGGAAAUGAACGAAAAAGCCAGUGCAAAUAUGGGCAAAAAUGCAAAUUUCAGGAUUUUGCACAGGUCAGCCAAAGAAAGGUAAAAUGGACCAAUCACUGGCAGACCAGUGUACAGGCUACGUCAGAGCCUGCAAUUUUAGGCAGGAAUGGUCCAGAUUUUGCCAUAUGGACCUGAGGUGGCGCAAGGAACGGUUCUAGAGAGGAAAAUGAGAUAGACGGCCCAAAUUGAGUGUAACAUUCCAAGGCACUGAUCAUUUUUCCCUUCACCAUAAAAGGGGGGCAUUGAGUUGCAGAGAAAGGAAGAAAAAAAUUGGGAACUCGCCUGGUGAAAACAAAGGGGGAUUUACAAACGGUUCAAGCUGCAGGAGAGCCAGCUUGGGAAGAAAAAGUUGAUCGACUCAACGCCGUCGCUGCGAACAAGGGUAAGUUCCAUUUGUUUUUCACAUCUUGAAAUAGAAAUUUAAAUACUAAAUUUCUUUGAAAAUAGAAAUGAUUAUGGUGUUGUUGAAAGAGAUUUUAGGUAGAUUUGGAUGAGGGAAUCUAUCAAGGGAGUUAAAGGCAUCAUCGGAGGUGAAAUCCUGGAAAGAUAUGGAGAGGGGAGAUCUAUCCAGGAAAAUCGAAGGAGUAAUGGGAUGAGGUAAGAAAAAGAGAAUUGAGGGGAGUUGUUUAGAGUGAGGAGGAGGAACAAAUGAGAGAAAGGGAUCAGCGGACAAGGAAGAAAAUAGAGGGACACCUGCAGUGAGAGUGCUACCUAUUAUUAUUCUGGAUAUAUAAAUAUAUAUAUACUCACAUUUCUGUAUUUAGCGAUAAAUGUUUCUCUUAAGUGUUUGGUGUGCUCUCGUGACGGAAGGAAGUAUAUAUAAAUUGGCCCAGUUACUGUAUCGAGGGGCCCCGAGGGUGUAUUUUGGCAUUAAGAUACCGUUUGGGAAUGGUCUGAAUAUACAUAUAUAUUGGUGUUACUGUUCUGUGAUGCUGAGAAGAAAAGCGAAUAGAGUUCUGCUGUGGCCCAGUUAUUGGGUCGAAGGGUUGAUGGGGAACUGAUUGUGUUCCGUGAUGAGCUUCUAUGUGAGGCAUAAAUUGUUUAGCUGUGGCCCUUUUAAGGGUGCCCCGGAAUUUGUUUACAUAUUUUAUUUUUGUUCAGAUAUAUAUGUAUAUAUAUAUAUUGACUUGCUGUAAGCAAUGGAGGUGCAAGCAUUCGGGUCCUGAAUGCUGUAGAGUUCUGGAAGAAUACUGCAUGGGUGAGUCAGGUUUGUGACAAGAGAUGAUAUAAAUAAAUCAGAGGAAGAGUUGAAGGGUUAUGGUGAGAAAAUGAUACUGGCAAGAGUUAGAGACGACAGGAGAAAUUGGGUAGAAAUUAGCUGUUUAGGCUGGAGAGGGACUGAACAGAGGGCAGUACUGAGAGUUGAUGAUUUAAUUUUUUUCCCUUCUUGGUAGGCUGUGCGGAGAAAAAAAAAGGAUAGCAGGGGGUAUACUGAUGGGAAUUAACCCAAAUAUUGAUGAUAAAAAAUAACAGCAAAUUGAAUAAAUAAGAAAGGGAAGUAGAAAUAGAGGUGGAACAGAAAGGGAUACUGGGCAGGGGUUUUGGGAGAAAUUAGGAAAUAUCUAGGAGGGGGAAAUAUGUGAUCAGAAUAUAGGCAGAUGAUACAGACAGUGAUAGGGUUGGAGAAGAGGAAGCUGAUAGGUUGUAUGAUACCCAGUACCGGAAAUUUAGUUUUAAAUGUUUCUAUUUACUUGGGUGUGAAUUUCAAAUUUUACUUCUUGGGCAUUGUAGCUUAUUAUGUAGUUUAUUACAGAACAGGUGAAGCUGGAACAGGAACCGGAAGUGCAAGAAGCGUGCCUCCAGACUUGAGAAUGGAUAGGACGUACAACAUUGUAACUAUCGCUGACUUCGAAUGUAGUGAGAAACUGUAUCAGCAUUGUUCUAGAUAUAUAUGUCCCACCCAGGAAAUUGAAUUACUAUUUACUUUCAUUAUAAUUAUUUGGUGACCUAGUAUAGUGGCUGCAGGUGGUAUAGUUGAGAUGGUAAAUACAUGAAUAUAUAUGGACAUGUAUACAUGGGUUUCAUAUAGAAUGAAAAUGCAUGCAGAUUGAGGUUUUGUGAUGGAAUGCUUUACGAACUGUUCAGGAUGUGAAUAAGCCUUUCAGGUUGAUUGAUAGAAUAACUGGCUCAGAAGCUGGGUUGUUACAGUAAAGGAGAUAAUGGGUUUCCAUGCCUGAGAUCGUUUUGGAAAUCUGACACCCUCAACCAUUCAUCCUUGAACCUAAAUGGGCAAGGUCUCAUUUGAUACUAUUAGAAUUCAAACAAAUGGAAAAAUGGUCCGAGAUCAUGCACUAGAGAUGUCUCUGGAUUAGCCUUGUAGUCUGAGAUUGAAAGGAGACACAAAUUAAGAAUCAAUUUAUCUUGGAGCAAUUAGGAUGAGAUCUUUGGUUAGACCAGAUCCACCCGUGAUUUUGAGAGAGGAAAGUCUUUAAGUUCUGAUCUAUCCACAAUGUCUUGGAAUUCCUUGGCACAAACCCUUGAGAACUGCAUUCAAGAACACUCACAUAUCUUGAGAACUAUGUUAAAGUCACUCCCUACAACCUAUGGAUGAUCCCAUUUCCUCCUACAUUUCUCUAGAUCACUCCACAAUCUUUUCCUCUCUCUCUCCUCACCUCUGCCAUUAGCCCCAGUAAGUAAAUAACUAUAACGACUCCCCGUACAUUCAAGCAAGUGUGAGAUAAAGCACUCACCCAUAUCGAAGUCCUUAUAGUGAAGAGUAUUCUCAUUCCAAGGCACUACAAUUCCACCAGCCGUAAUUGCAGCAACUCUCGCCAACACACCCUAAUCUUUCAAAUACUGAGUGUCAGGCUAUCAAAGAAAGAUUCCACUUUUGUUUCUU